This 1931-nucleotide long non-coding RNA is filed under the name Strigops habroptila (Kakapo). RNAcentral's name for it is "lncRNA (ENSSHBG00005000848.1)". Lineage: Eukaryota; Metazoa; Chordata; Aves; Psittaciformes; Psittacidae. The record is from RNAcentral.
CUUCUCCUCCUCCCCUGGCCGGGCCCGCAGGGGAGAGUGACACUCACCAGGCGGCUCCGUCCCGGCGGCAGCCCCCCGCGUCCCCCUGCGUCCCCCUGCGCCUCUGAUAAGCAGUUUCUGAGGAGUGAAGGACCUGCAAAAGGGAACACCCGCUCUUGAGGUUGCAAAGGUGCUAAAGCAUGGCUGACUUGGAUCACAACCUCAGUCUUGCGGAUGCUCUGACAGAGCCGCCUCCUGAGAUUGAGGAAGAAGUGAAAAGGGACUUCAUUGCCACACUGGAGGCAGAGAAAUUUGAUGACGUGGUUGGAGAAACAGUAGAUAAAACAGACUACGUUCCUCUGCUGGACGAUGAUGAUGCAAAAGCUGGGAGCCAGGAACCAAAGAGCAAACCCCAUGCAGAUGGUAUUCAGGUGGAAAAUACUUCAGCUUCUGGGCCAACAGUUGUAGAAAAUGGUGACCAUGGAAUAGAAGAUCACCGCACAGUAUUCCCAGGAGAAAACAUGGAUGAAAAGCUGUCUUACAAAGAAUUUCUCGAUCGCAAUGAGUCCUGGACAAUGGAUGACAGAGAUCUGUGCUUGAAUCACAGCCAGUAUUCAAACCCAUGGAGAUGACUGAUUCCUUCAGCAUGCACAGAGGGGACAAUCUGCCUGACUUAUCAUUUCCUACUGACAUGAAGAAUGUGCCGCUGUUCACGCGACCAUGCUGACACUUCCAGAGACAUUCCAUGCACCACAUGGAUCUAUGAUGGUACCUGAACAACCUUUCCUGGGGGCCCUCUAUUCGCCUGCAGAGGCUCUAGACACAUCAGCCUUCAUUGGCGUGGAUUCAACAGCAGAAUUUCUGCAAGACAAAGCAGUGCCUGAAGAAUAUUGGAUGGGAGCUCAGCAUGAUGUGAAGGGACCAGAUGCCUCUUUCUUUGUUGAGCCACCAGUGCCUCCCACCGUGACAGAAGCAAUGAACCAGAAUUUGCCAGAAGGCCCUGUAGCAGUGGCUCCUGGUUUCCUUCCUACUGCAGUUACAACAUCCCCAGGAGAGGCCAAAGCUACUGAUGGACCAAAAGAAAAGGCUGGGUCUGUUCUUGAGGGAGACACCAAGCCUCCUCAAGCUCUGGAUGCUGGAUUCGCACCCACAGCAGAAGCCAACCCUUUUCAGGCUAUGGAUGUUGGGUUUGCUCCUGCACCAGAAGUCAAGCCUCCUAAUGCUGUCAGUGCAUCCGCUCCAGCGGCAGACACCAGCUUCGCCCCAGCAGAUGCUAUGUGCCAUUACACUAUGGAUUUGGAGUUUGCCCCAGCAGAAGAUGCAGGGUUUGCCCCAGCAGCAGAUGUGGGAUCUCACCAUGCUAUGGGUUUGGCAUUUGCCCCAGCAGCAGAUGUGGAAUCUCACCAUGCUAUGGAUAUGGCAUUUGCCCCAGCAGCAGAUGUGGAAUCUUGCCAUGCUAUGGAUAUGGCAUUUGCCCCGGCAGCAGAUGCGGAAUCUAACCAUGCUGUGGAUUUAGCAUUUGCCCCAGCAGCAGAUACUAAAUCUCAUCAUGCUGUGGAUUCUGAAUUUGCCCCAGGAGCAGAUGCAGAGUUUGCCCCUGCAGCAGAAGUCAACCAUCAUCAUGCUAUGGAUUCUGGGUUUGCUCCUGUAGCAGAAACGAAGCCUUUUCCUGCCGUGGAUUCUGGGUUUGGCUUUGCAGAAGCUAAGUCUGCCACUGCAGCUGACACCAAGAUUUCUGCAUCUGAAGAGCUGAUGACUUCUGAGUCUUCUCUUAAGCAAGACAAGUCACCCUUCGGCAAGCCUCCUGCAGAAGCAACUGCAAAUGUGGAACAAGAAUUGAAAGCCCCAGAAGGCCGUGUUGACCUCUUAGAGCAAGCUAAUGUCGGCAAACCUCCUCCAGCAACCAGGAAGAGCAUCUUCUGGAGCAGACGAACCAUCUUUCAGACCAGCAG